RNAcentral lists this ribosomal RNA (1337 nucleotides) under uncultured bacterium. RNAcentral's name for it is "bacterial SSU rRNA". It matches the Rfam family "Bacterial small subunit ribosomal RNA", at positions 28 to 1387 of the family's 1533-position model. The record is from RNAcentral.
AACGAACGCUGGCGGCGUGGAUAAGACAUGCAAGUCGAACGAGAGAAUUGCUAGCUUGCUAAUAAUUCUCUAGUGGCGCACGGGUGAGUAACACGUGAGUAACCUGCCCCCGAGAGCGGGAUAGCCCUGGGAAACUGGGAUUAAUACCGCAUAGUAUCGAAAGAUUAAAGCAGCAAUGCGCUUGGGGAUGGGCUCGCGGCCUAUUAGUUAGUUGGUGAGGUAACGGCUCACCAAGGCGAUGACGGGUAGCCGGUCUGAGAGGAUGUCCGGCCACACUGGAACUGAGACACGGUCCAGACACCUACGGGUGGCAGCAGUCGAGAAUCAUUCACAAUGGGGGAAACCCUGAUGGUGCGACGCCGCGUGGGGGAAUGAAGGUCUUCGGAUUGUAAACCCCUGUCAUGUGGGAGCAAAUUAAAAAGAUAGUACCACAAGAGGAAGAGACGGCUAACUCUGUGCCAGCAGCCGCGGUAAUAUAGAGGUCUCAAGCGUUGUUCGGAAUCACUGGGCGUAAAGCGUGCAUAGGCUGUUUCGUAAGUCGUGUGUGAAAGGCGCGGGCUCAACCCGCGGACGGCACAUGAUACUGCGAGACUAGAGUAAUGGAGGGGGAACCGGAAUUCUCGGUGUAGCAGUGAAAUGCGUAGAUAUCGAGAGGAACACUCGUGGCGAAGGCGGGUUCCUGGACAUUAACUGACGCUGAGGCACGAAGGCCAGGGGAGCGAAAAGGAUAGAUACCCCUGUAGUCCUGGCAGUAAACGGUGCACGCUUGGUGUGCGGGGAAUCGACCCCCUGCGUGCCGGAGCUAACGCGUUAAGCGUGCCGCCUGGGGAGUACGGUCGCAAGAUUAAAACUCAAAGAAAUUGACGGGGACCCGCACAAGCGGUGGAGUAUGUGGCUUAAUUCGAUGCAACGCGAAGAACCUUACCUGGGCUUGACAUGUAAUGAACAACAUGUGAAAGCAUGCGACUCUUCGGAGGCGUUACACAGGUGCUGCAUGGCCGUCGUCAGCUCGUGUCGUGAGAUGUUUGGUUAAGUCCAGCAACGAGCGCAACCCCUGUUGCCAGUUACCAGCACGUGAAGGUGGGGACUCUGGCGAGACUGCCCAGAUCAACUGGGAGGAAGGUGGGGACGACGUCAGGUCAGUAUGGCCCUUAUGCCCAGGGCUGCACACGUACUACAAUGCCCAGUACAGAGGGGGCCGAAGCCGCGAGGCGGAGGAAAUCCUGAAAACUGGGCCCAGUUCGGACUGUAGGCUGCAACCCGCCUACACGAAGCCGGAAUCGCUAGUAAUGGCGCAUCAGCUACGGCGCCGUGAAUACGUUCCCGGGUCUUGCACA